CUUGUCUUCUUCGACUCUUCUUCUCCGACAAAGGAGGCGCGACGCCGUCUUUUCUUCUUCUUACCAGACUUGGGUCAGGGAUAGUUUAAUCAGCCAAUACUGCAGAAAUCAUCUCGCCUUGGAUGCUAUUGAUUUCAGAAUCAACUGCAUUUGUAUGAAUCAGAAAGGACUUUAUUGAUCUUAUGAGGAGCUUAAGUAAUUGGGCAGUGGUGAAUGAUGAUAACCCAAAAAAGAAAGAUUGGAUGAUAAAGACAUGAAGAAAGUUUUAUAGUUUGUGUCUUGUGUAGAAUGGCUGCUCAAGUGGUCUAUAUAGUUUGGAAAGAAACAGAUAGGGAUUAUCAGGUAUUUUUGGAUGGUCUUGGCCUUGGG
This is an RNA transcript of Arabidopsis thaliana (thale cress), 369 nucleotides long. RefSeq lists it as uncharacterized. The record is from RefSeq. NCBI's taxonomy places the organism in Eukaryota, Viridiplantae, Streptophyta, Magnoliopsida, Brassicales, Brassicaceae. The transcript is spliced from 2 exons.